This 497-nucleotide ribosomal RNA is filed under the name uncultured bacterium. RNAcentral describes it as "partial 16S ribosomal RNA". It matches the Rfam family "Bacterial small subunit ribosomal RNA", at positions 28 to 507 of the family's 1533-position model. The record is from RNAcentral.
GAUGAACGCUGGCGGCGUGCCUAAUACAUGCAAGUCGAGCGAACAGACGAGGAGCUUGCUCCUCUGACGUUAGCGGCAGACGGGUGAGUAACACGUGGAUAACCUCCCUAUAAGACUGGGAUAACUUCGGGAAACCGGAGCUAAUACCGGAUAAUAUAUUGAACCGCAUGGUUCAAUAGUGAAAGACGGUUUUGCUGUCACUUAUAGAUGGAUCCGCGCCGCAUUAGCUAGUUGGUAAGGUAACGGCUUACCAAGGCAACGAUGCGUAGCCGACCUGAGAGGGUGAUAGGCCACACUGGAACUGAGACACGGUCCAGACGCCUAAGGGAGGCAGCAGUAGGGAAUCUUCCGCAAUGGGCGAAGGCCUGACGGAGCAACGCCGCGUGAGUGAUGAAGGUCUUCGGAGCGUAAAACUCUGUUAUUAGGGAAGAACAAAUGUGUAAGUAACUAUGCACGUCUUGACGGUACCUAAUCAGAAAGCCACGGCUAACUACGUG